This 401-nucleotide ribosomal RNA is filed under the name Potamonautes perlatus. Its description in RNAcentral is "partial 16S ribosomal RNA". Lineage: Eukaryota; Metazoa; Arthropoda; Malacostraca; Decapoda; Potamonautidae. The record is from RNAcentral.
GUGCAAAGGUAGCAUAAUCAUUAGGUUUUUAAUUGGAAUCUUGUAUGAAUGAUUGGACAAAAGAAGUACUGUCUUUGUAUUGAAACUUGAAUUUAACUUUUAAGUGAAAAGGCUUAAAUAUACUAAAGGGACGAUAAGACCCUAUAAAACUUUACAUUUAUGUUAAAUUUUAUGGAAUUUGAAAUUAUAAUUAUUAAGUUUAAUUUUUUGUUAUGUUGGGGAGACAAAAGCUAUAAUUAUUUAUAACUGCUUUUAAAGGAAACAAAAAUAAAUGGGGAGAGUUAAAGAUCCUUUAUUGAGAUUGUAAGAUUAAGUUACUUUAGGGAUAACAGCGUUAUUUUUUUUGAGAGUUCAUAUUGAAAAAAAAGAUUGCGACCUCGAUGUUGAAUUAAAAUAUCUUU